GUGUCCAGAGAGGUGAACGCGGCGCUCGGGUUGGCUCCGCCCUCCGCUGCCGGGCAUGCCCAGCGUCUGCAGCUGCCGGACCAGCUCAGGCAUGCGGUCCCAGUGGCCUUCGGCGCGGCAGCGCUCCAGCUCGCCCUCCACCUUCAGCAGAGUUUCUCUUUCCAACUUGACUCCCCUACACUACACGACUGGUCGUAGUCUGCAGGCUCUGGUGCCUUGGAUUUCUUAAAGGCUGUUUUUCUAACUUGGUAUUCAUUUAUUUCUUCAUUCUGGUGUCUGAAGACAGGGAUCGAAGGUACCGAGCGCUUAGCCGGGCUUAGUUCUAUGCUCUGCCGGAACUAAGGACGUCACUCAAGAAACCACCACCAGACAGAAAACUGAAACCAAAUCCUACCUCCCCACUUAAAUGACUUAUUGUAGGGCCCAUGUCCAAGAUGCCAACAUAAGAGUUGGGCAAGCUACUGUUGACGACUUCAAGUCAGAAGGCAUCCCCUUCCUCUCCAGUGUGGAGAGACAGCUCUGCUGAGUGCACUUGCCCUACUGCAAACUCAGAAGGAAUGAAGUUCAUAGAAGACAAAUCCAAAUGCUGAGAAAUGCGUAUUUUCAGUGAGUGACAAAACCAAAUCAACAGAAGACUUAGCUACUGCCCUCAGACAAGAUGGAGAGACUUUUGCUACUGGAUCGUCAGAAAGGCUGUAAGUUAUUGAUCUUGAUGAGUGUCAUGAAGUAAAGGGCUUGUGGAGAUCUCUCAUAGGUGCAAAAGCUGGAUACUUAGGUGGCCCAGAAUGAGAAAGUACCGGGCUGUUGGAAAAGUCACGAUGUAGUUUUUCUAUGCAAAAAUGCAAAUGUGACUUUUCUGACAACCCAAUAUUAAAGAGCUCAUUUUAACUCACUGUUUACAUUUGGAUAACUAGAGGAAAAAGUUUGGUUACUGAGGAAUCAUUUAAGUCAAAUAAUGAUGUGCAAACUUUAGAAAAGUUGGGACCACACUGCCUGUAGUGGCCCAACAAAUCUGGGAAUCUUCCUAAUUACCUUUGUUACCAGCCAGGAAUGUUUUGUACAUUGGUUGUCUGGAGUAUGGGAUUUACCUCCAUGGGAUAUAUCUUGUCUUAGGUAAUGCACUUUCCUUUGAUAAAUUAAUUUCUCCAUGAAAACUCUUAUGCCUUUGUGAGCAAAAAUGUAAGGAGAUAUGUCAGACUUAGAGCUUACUUCAUCUGUACAAGACGUUGUCCACGUAUUGGACAAGAAUAAAAGCAAGGGGACAAUGUAAGAUCCUUGGUGUCCUGGUUGAGCACUUGCAAAAAAGUAGAACUCUCGGCCAUGGCAGUCCAAGUAUACUGUUGAUUUUCCAUAGUGAAGACAAAUAAAAGCACUGUUUUUGUUUUUAAUUAUUUAUUUAUUUAAUUCCAUUUGUUAUUAUUUUUUAAGUUGACCAACAGAGACAGCGAAAGAAAGGGAAAGUAAGAAAGCAAGCCGCC
Tupaia belangeri chinensis (Chinese tree shrew) is the source of this 1478-nucleotide long non-coding RNA. RefSeq lists it as uncharacterized. The record is from RefSeq and is a predicted model, not a curated record. NCBI's taxonomy places the organism in Eukaryota, Metazoa, Chordata, Mammalia, Scandentia, Tupaiidae. The transcript has 3 exons.